This 581-nucleotide long non-coding RNA is filed under the name Triticum aestivum (bread wheat). RNAcentral describes it as "long non-coding RNA (TAES_LNC020709)". Lineage: Eukaryota; Viridiplantae; Streptophyta; Magnoliopsida; Poales; Poaceae. The record is from RNAcentral.
CAUGUUCUCCAGUUUGUUAUAGAACCUACAAAGUGGUACUAGUAGUUAACUGAGUUUCCUGAGCACAGAUUAUUCCUCGAGGGCCACCUCAUUCUCAAGGAUAUUUAAGCUAUCAGGUCCAUGAGCUCAUAUUGGUUGAGGGUCCAUAUAUCUGUUUUGUGGGCUGGCAUUCCCUUUCAGCUCGACGGAUGUGGCUGCAGAGUGAUAUCCUAUUAUUCUGAACAAUUUGGAACCUGACAGGCUGUGUGGGGACAGAUGGAUGUGAUGCCUACAAACCUUAAUUUCUUUUAGUUAGUGAUAGCGCUUCAGACUAAUUACCGCUGGAGGCACAUAAACCAUGGGGAACUUACAUGAGCAGCCGUAUAAUGGGAAGGUGUAUAUACACCUGAUAUGGGGGAGAUUAAUAAUUAAAGAAGUCAAUAAAGUUCGGAACUAUAUUUUUGAAUAAACUUGACUUUUUUUCACUAGUAUACUUAUUUUCACGAAUAAAAACCCAGCGUUGAUAAGUCACUAUUCACACUAAUUUGAGGUGUAUAUACACCUGAUAUGGGGGAGAUUAAUAAUUAAAGAAGUCAAUAAAG